Macaca fascicularis (crab-eating macaque) is the source of this 2957-nucleotide long non-coding RNA. NCBI's taxonomy places the organism in Eukaryota, Metazoa, Chordata, Mammalia, Primates, Cercopithecidae. The record is from Ensembl.
AAUAUAUUCAGAGCACAGAAUUUAUUGAACAUAAUAUGGAGACAGCUAGUACAAAAGUUUAUGCCUUGGCAGGGCAGGUUUCAUCAGGCUGAUAUGGAACAUGGGAGAACAUGCUGUUAAUGGCUCUUUUGGUCUGGACCCUGCAGAAAUACAUCUCCUUCUCUCUGGGAAACAUCAUGUCAGCUGCCAAGCCAUGGGUUUAUUACAUAUCAGAUAACCAAAAUGUGCAACGGUGAAGAGUCCUUUCCCGCACCAGCUUUUUAAAUGACUUCCAUGUCAAAACAGCAAAUACAAUGAAAACUACAGAAAGGAAAAAUUAUGAAAACUAAAGCAUUCUAAGACAUCUCUUAAGAUACUCAGUUCCUAAAAUGUUAACAUACAUCGAAGACAAUAAACACAUUAAAAACUGCAGGAAUCUUUUUUCAACAUAGGGAGAAAGACGUAGAAUAGGGAGAGAACAGCAUGGGUUACUGAAACCAUUUAUUCAAAAAGGAGAGGAAAGGUGAAGGGAACACUGAAAUAGAUCACUUUUAGUUUCUUAUAGGAAGUUCCAAAUGGCAGCAGUUUAUAAAUAGUCUUUAAAAAGGAAACGACAGCAACAGAAAUGAGAACCAAAUAUAUUUUGCAUUUUUCUCUCAGUGUAUAAGCUUGAAUCACCUUACUUAGGCUACAUACGAAUGAAAAAUAUAAAAAGUCACUCCCACUGACUAAUUUCUCAGCACCUCAUAUAGUAGCAGCCAGACAGACGGUACUUAUGAAACGUUUGCUGACGAGUGAAUGAUGAAAAGCAAAAAGUAGUUCUUGUACACAUGGUCUCAGUAUCACAGACAAUAAAUUCUGACCUUUGAAUUCACAUAAAAGAUGCAAUGGAAAAGCACUUUAACAUGGAUGCUGCACGAGAGGAUUAACAGCUGAAUUCAGUCUAUUUCGUAAAAACAAAAGAAAGAUGGGAAUGCAGGCAGCCAGUUCGGAGAAACAGCCAGGACUUUUUUGUCUGACAUGGAAAAACCAGCAAGUCAAUGUGUGAAACGUGCACACUAAUUUCUCAUCUUCUUAAACCCUAAAAAGCCCCGCAAUCUUGUUAGCACUAAGCCUGGAUGAAAUUGUGUUAAGAUAUCUGAUUAGUCUCCCUUAGUUGGCAUUUUCCAAAGGAAAAAAAAAGGGAACCUGUUUUAUUUCAGUCAGACAUGGCUUUGGGUAUCACUGAAACGAAGCUCUGACAGAAGCUCCACCUGCAGAAGCCCAGGCGGGCUCCCGCGGCUCAUCAGAAUGCCAGCAGGAAAGCAGGCCAGCAAGUGAGCAUCCGUCCUGCACCCACAUCCAUUAGCCAAGUGAUUACCUCUCCAUCAGCCCUGGGGUGUAAUAAAGCAGUUGUAAUCGGGCAUUGUUACAGGAUCAAUGUUUCCUGGUUUAAAAAUAAACAUCAGCAUUUAUCUAGCAGCAGAAAGCGAUUCUCCCAUAGUACUGUUUUAUUCAACUGACAUCUUUUAAUCAAAGCAAUCCAUAUCGUGGCAACAUUCCAAGGUAUCAUAAUUGCAAAUAUUUAUGGCAAGUUAGAUAAUAGCUACAUUUUUAUUGCUAUACUUUUCUUCCUUCUUUUUUUUUGAGACAGAGUCUUGCUCUGUCGCCCAGGCUGGAGUGCAGUGGCACGAUCUCGGCUCACUGCAAGCUCCACCACCCGGGUUCACGCCAUUCUCCUGCCUCAGCCUCCCGAGUAGCUGGGACUACAGGCACCCGCCACCACGCCCGGCUAAUUGUUUUGAAUUUUUUUUUUUAGUAGAGACGGGGUUUCACCAUGUUAGCCAGGAUGGUCACGAUCUCCUGACCUCAUGAUCCGCCCACCUCAGCCUCCCAAAGUGCUGGGAUUACAGGCGUGAGCCACCGCGCCCGGCCUACACUUUUCUUCUUUUUCUACAGAUUUAACGCAGACAUUUUCUAACAAAUUAAUUCCAUUAAGAAAAAGAAAUCUCAAUUAUAUUCAUGAAGACAACCUCUCAUCCACCUCCACCGGUUUCCCUUUUAACUAUUACCCAUAACUGUUUAUGUGAGUUCGUGUCUUUUAAAUUUUUCAAAAUACCUCUCUGUAACUUAAAUAAAAGGAAGCCCCCUAUUGUUAAGUGCCAUAGAUACAGCUAAAAACAUGGCAUGGAGGAAGGUCAGGGCCCCUCGGCACAGGAGUGGGCGAGCUCGUGCACCCCAGCUAAUGUUCUUGGUGGCUGAGCCUCGUGUGCUAACGCUGUGGCUAAUGGGAUUCAGAGGAUGGAGGAAGAGGUCUGUGAAGCUGGCGGCAGACCCAUUCCCACAGCCCCCCAAGCUUGCCUCUCGGCUGAUGCUCCUUAUCAGGGGCUUCUAUUACUUGCUCCCUUAGCUGAUUUCCUGGAGAAACGCAGUGCUAAUUCAGGAAGAGGCCUGAGACAUCGGCAGCUCAGCUGUUUUCAAACCUCGGCAGGGCACUUCUGUAAUACCAAUUUUAAUGAACUGCCCUCAUUCACAUUUAAUUUACAAGUCAUGUAAAGCCUCCAUAUAAAGCGUUCCCAUCAUCUCCUUGCCGAGACAGACUGGUAAUAUUCUUUCUAAAGCCCCCAAAGUCAUUCCCCAGGAGCAUCGGGCAGAGAUCUUCAGGCAAUGAGAAAAUGGAAUAUGCACUUUUUUUCACUGUCUGGAGUGUGCUCAGUUUGCAACAGAAAAAGAAAAAGCAUGUGAACUACAGUCUUAAUUCUACUUACUUUAGUGUGAAAAUAACAGGUAUGGAGGCAGACACAUAAAAGAUGUACAGACGGGCAGAGUAGCUGAAGGAGGAAGGCUUCAUCCACUCAGUUCCCUGAAGCAGAUUUUCAGAGCUGAAAUGGUAUCUUAGCAAUGCAGGCCUUACAGAGACUGAUUUAGUUCUAAAAAGUUGCCCAAUUUAACCUCCUGGAGCCUUUAUUUCUUCAUAUGCAAACAGAGCCACCUACCCC